RNAcentral lists this transfer RNA (71 nucleotides) under Ovis aries (sheep). It matches the Rfam family "tRNA". Rfam says of the family: Transfer RNA (tRNA) molecules are approximately 80 nucleotides in length. Lineage: Eukaryota; Metazoa; Chordata; Mammalia; Artiodactyla; Bovidae. The record is from Rfam by way of RNAcentral.
UCCUUGGUGGCUCAGUGAUAAAGAAUCUGCCUCACAAGUAGGAGACUCAGGUUCGAUCCCUGAGUUGGGAA